UACGAAGGGGGCGAGCGUUGUUCGGAAUUACUGGGCGUAAAGGGCGCGUAGGCGGCGACUCAAGUUAGAUGUGAAAGUCCUGGGCUUAACCUGGGGACUGCAUUUGAUACUGGGUUGCUUGAAUUCGGGAGAGGAUAGCGGAAUUCCCAGUGUAGAGGUGAAAUUCGUAGAUAUUGGGAAGAACGCCGGUGGCGAAGGCGGCUAUCUGGACCGACAUUGACGCUGAGGCGCGAAAGCGUGGGGAGCAAACAGG
RNAcentral lists this ribosomal RNA (253 nucleotides) under uncultured bacterium. Its description in RNAcentral is "partial 16S ribosomal RNA". It matches the Rfam family "Bacterial small subunit ribosomal RNA", at positions 524 to 776 of the family's 1533-position model. The record is from RNAcentral.